GUGCGCGCCGCCGAGAAAGCAAGGAGCACCCCCGGAUAGGGCUCCUGAGAGGCCCAUCUAAAGGCUCAGCCAGUGAGGGAAGCCGGAGUUGGGUUGGGAGGCGGGCACCCGGAAGAGAAGAUGCUCUGUGCUGCGCGCGAGGCUCUCCAACUGGAAACGGAGGGGCGGAAAAAGGCGGCUGCGCGCAGGCACCAUGUUUCAGUUUUUGGUGAGUCUUUUCCCAGGGGCGCAGAGGCUGGGUUGGCUUGGGGCAGGGGUGGGCAGGCGUCAGGAUCGAAGGUGCCCUUUGGAUCUCUCUCUCUCUCUCUCUCUCUCUCUCUUUCUCUCUCUCGCUCAGAUCCCCCAACCAGGGCCGAGCGCAAAAGAGCACAUAGUUAGAAUGGGCACAGAUCCCCGUUUUCAGUUCCAGAACUUGAACUCAGCUCGCGGUGCUUUCAGGGGAAAGUGUAACCUUGGCUAACUGUCUUCCUUUCAUUAGUUUGGAAGGUCUCUCUUUUGCUGCCACUGUAAAACAGAGUGGGAGUCAAGAAACUCUUACCGAUUUGCUGUACAGUAGUAGGUCACCCGGAUUUCGACCAGUUGAUCCCGCGAUCUAGUGAGGGCAGAGGAAGAGAGGCGAAUUUGCUGUCACAUUGGGCCUCUAGAAGAGAAAAAGGGUGGUUUGCCUACGAAAGACACCCCCACCUUUUAAAUGAGCAGAGGAAUAAAUUAAGGCAUCGAGAGGGCAAGCCUGUAAGUAGGAGUAAACCCCAAGAUAAGCAGUGGGCUAGGUGUGUGUAGGAUUGCACCGUAAAACAUUUAUUUGGGAGUGCGUCCCUCUGACUUCAAACUUCUGAGUAGAUACACAAAGAAGGUUGUGUUGUGAGCCUGGAAACUUAUACAGUGGUACCUCGGGUUAAAAACUUAAUUUGUUCCAGAGGUCCGUUCUUAACCUGAAACUGUUCUUAACCUGAGGUACCACUUUAGCUAAUGGGGCCUCCCGCUAACGCCACGCAGCUGGAGCACUGUUCUCAUCCUGAAGCAAAGUUCUUAACCCGAGGUACUAUUUCUGGGUUAGCGGAGGCUGUAACCUGAAGCGUCUGUAACCUGAGGUACCACUGUAUAUCCCUUCCCACGCCCAAGGUCUGUUGUUGUUUAUUAAAUUUGUUGGUCGCUUUUGUCUUACCCAGGCCAGCUCAAAGCAACUUACAAACAAACAGAGACAAAAACAGAGGCAUCUAAUGUUUCCCCAUCCCAAUUGUUCUAAGGAUGAAAGCUUUCUCCUGACCCACAUUUGUGGCAGCUGUCAGCAGCUCAGUAAUAUGGCAUCUAUUUGGUAGUGUCUGUAAACUGCUGUUGUAAUGACACUGUUCAGUAUUUUCUCAGCAUCAUUUCACAUGGGUUAAGUGCUCUUCUGUUCCACUUACAAAUCAUAAGAGCGGAAUAACUGCUCUGAGGAAGGUCUGGCCAGCCUAAUGUUCUCUUUCCAUUAGUGAUGUCUUUGGAAACUCACAAGCAGGGCAUCAAGAUAGCAGCCAUCUCCCCUUGCUUGUUCCUAGCACCUUCCUGAUACAUUCCUGGGCUUAUUUUGUCUUUUCAAACACAAUCAAGCUGCUUUCCCACACUGUCAUCUUUGUAUGCCUUCUGCCUUAAGCUGUCUAUUUCAUGCAGCCUGACAACGCUUUCCAGAGGCCGUACAACCCCUUAACAUAUCUCAGAAAACAACACUGGUUGUUGUUUUAAAUAAAGCCAUUUAAUUGUGUCCUGUAUAUAUAUUGGAACUAUUGAACCUGUGGAUCUCCAGAUAUUGCUGAACUCCAUUUCCUAUCAGCCCCAGUCAGCAUGGCCAACAGCCAGGGAUGAUGGGAGCUGUAGUCCCAACAAUGUCUGGAGGGCUAUAGAUUCCCCACCUCUGCCGUGCUGGUGGCUGCAGUAGGCUAGAUCAUGCCUGAUGUGCUCAAUAGUGCAUCUCAAAACUGGGUGCUCCACCAUCUUAAGAGUGUAUUUCUCAUUAUUGGGGACCAACACAAUUACAGUGGUACCUCGGGUUACAUACGCUUCAGGUUACAUACGCUUCAGGUUACAGACUCCGCUAACCCAGAAAUACUACCUCGGGUUAUGAACUUUGCUUCAGGAUGAGAACAGAAAUCGUGCUCUGGCGGCGUGGCGCCAGUGGGAGGCCCCAUUACCUAAAGUGGUGCUUCAGGUUAAGAACAGUUUCAGGUUAAGUACAGACCUCCGGAACGAAUUAAGUACGUAACCAGAGGUACCACUGUACUAUUUGCCUGUCAAAUUUCUCUUUGGGAUUCCCUGGAUUUUGAUCCAUUGGGGGCCUAUGCGUUUCCUUUUAGAUUGAUGCAACAAUAUCUUUGCAUCAGUUUUGCUUAAGUGCUUUGGUGAUAGCUCCUGAUAUUUGUUAAUGCAUUUUGACAUAUUUAUCCCUGUGACCUUUCACACAGCCAGGCAGUUUGCUGGACCAGUUGUUGUUAGUGCCCACAACAUACCAGAAGUUUCCAAGUUGUGGGUUUCCUUUUUCUUUUUCUAGCUGUCUCUAGAAAAACAAGAUAUUAACUUGUCCAUAUCCAAAGUUCAACUCGUUUCAUGCCUGAUAAGGUGCAUGUCUUCUACUCUUCCCCUGUUUGUUUCACUGAGCUGCUGCUGCAAUCCUAGACCCACAUACCUGGGAAUAAACCCCUUUUGAAAUCAAUGGGACUGAACAGCAUAAUUCUGUGCAUGUCAUCUCAAGUUCUUUGGGAGAGGGCUGUUGUGCUCUGGUCCUGUUCGCUUGCAGGCUUCCUGCUGGCAACUGGUUGCCCAUUGAAAACAGGAUGACAGAGUAGAUGGACCUAUGGGCAGAUCCAGCAGAGUUUUUCUUAUGUUUCAACCUGGAUGUUGAAUUAAUGGAACUUCAGAUUUCUAAAUAUUGGUUCAGAAAUGUAGUCACACCCUCAUGUGGAUAGGUAAAUCAGCCACAUGUAUCAGUGUACUGCAAAUAAUGUACAGUCAUACCUCGGGUUACAGACGCUUCAGGUUGCGCAUUUUCAGGUUACGGAUGCGCCAAAACCUGGAAGUACUGGAACAGGUUACUUCCAGGUUUCGGUGCGUGCACAGAAGUGCCAAAUUGCAACCCGCACGUGCACAGACGCGGCGCUGCGGGUUGCGAAUGCUGCAGGUUGCGAAUGUGCCUCCCGCACGGAUCACGUUUGCAACCCGAGCGUCCACUGUAUUACAUAUAUAUUAGCAAAUGCAAAUCUUAUGCACAUUGGUGUUCUCUCUUGCUGUUUUCCGUGAUGCAUAGUUGCUACCCUAUUGCAAAACAACUACUGCUUGCUCCACUGCCGUGUUAAAAAGGGAAGGUGGGAUGCUGGAGAUGGAAUGGUUUCUGGCCAGGGCAUCUGCACCAAGAGCUGAACAACUUCCCAGCAUUCUCAGGUGAAACACUGAGAACCUGAAUCACAGACUUGUAGAGUUGGAAGGUACCAUGAGGGUCAUCUAGACCAACCCCCUUUUGAUGCAGGAAUCUUUUACCCAACGUGGGGCUGAAACCCAUGGCCCUGAGAUUAAGAGUCUUAUGCUGUCCCAAAUAAGCUAUCCAUAGUCAGUAGAAGUCUGGAUGUCUGCUGGUUGGCCAUUAUAAGCCAGGCAGGCCAGAGAUUCCCUGCAAUCACCUGAUUACUCACCUCCCUGUCAAGAUCUUCCAUAAUGGCUCAGGAUACUAAUCCUAGCCACCCUUGAGCCAGCCACAUAAGCACUUUAAAGCCAUUUCUGUGGGGAGGGGUCAAGCAUAUGCUUAACUGUCCCAUUGAAAUGAACUGUCCCAUUGAAUUUGAAAUACGUGCUUUUAUUUUCCACUGGAUUGUUCCUGCUGUAUUCCUGGGACUCCCUUGGGCAACUCACGACAUCCCUGAUUCUUACACUUCUUGAAAUACAGUGCCACACAGAUGUUUGCUUCCUGAGCUUUGGCUAUAUUUUGAUCAGGCAUUAGUAAGAUGCAUGUAAAGUUCAGAGGUUCACAUGUCUCCUUUGCAGUAAACAUUAGGACCAUGGUCCCAUAAACAGAGCUACCGGGUCUCUUAUUGAAAGACAUUCUGUGUGCUUGAGCAAGAGGCAAUAGAACUGCAUUGUUAUUCCACCCUUCCUCCCGGGAACUUGGAACACAAAAGGCCAUAGGUCAGUGGAAGAGAACAUGUUUUGUAUGCUGGUCUCUAGUUCAGUCUUUGGCACCUCCACAUACGGUUGGGAGAUACACCCGUCUGAAACCAUUGAAAGCUACUGCUGGUCAGCAUAGAUAGAUCAUACUGAGCUAGAUGGACCAGUGCUCUGACUCAGUCUAAGGCAGCUUCCUAUGUCCCUGCCACAAUCCUGCGAGGUAGAUCAGGCUGAGAGUGAGUGACUGGCCCAAGGCAACCAUGAGAUGAGUCUGUUGGAUCAGGCCAGGGGUCCACCUAGUCCACCUUCCUGUUCUCACAGUGGCCAAGCAACAUAAUCUCAGCAUAACCAUUAAAAAGGAUUCCUGAAUUGACAUACAAAUUGCGAGACAAGGACAACUGUGACUUCGAGGAAGAAUGGGAACUUUAUACAAACUAUUUAAAAACACAACAAAAUGAAUUGGACUCUUGGCAGGUUUUGAAUAAACAUAUGUAGAUUUACUGUUGAUAACAUGGCAGACGGAUAAUGUAAGGAUUUGUAUAAUUUUAUAAUAUGCAGAGAAUAAUAUGUGCUGAGAAAUCAGAGAGAGGAGCUGAGGGAUGUCUCUGGGGGAGGGGAGGGAGGGUUUGAGGGGUGGGGGAAAAAGGGGGGAAAUAAUGAAUAUGUUAUGUUUUGAUAAGUUGUCAUGUUGAAAUUGCUAAUAAAAAAAAAGAAUUCCUGAAAAUACAGGGAAGUAGCAUCCUCUAAAAUGUGCAAGAGUUCCGUGGAAGACGCAUAGGAUGGCAAACUGAUGCGCAGUAGGUUUUCGAAGUUUGGGCAAUCUGUGCAUUGGGUAUGGCUGCACAUUCCCUUUGAAAUGCGCUCCCAGUGAACAUCAGACGAGCACCUAGUUACUGGCAUUUAGGCACCUACUUUAAACUCAUCUGUUCACCUAGGCUUUCCCUGGGAGGUGAUCUUACUAUCUUCUUGCAGCACGGUUUGGAAAUCACAGGCCUACAAAUCAGCCCCCAGGCAGCACAUCUGUCUGUCCAAUUUUAAUAAAGUUGCUCUGUGUGGAGGGUCUACAUAUUAAAGUUCUGGGGUUUUGGGGGGCUUUGUAUGUGAUGCUCCUGGUGAUUGUGGCUCAGAGAUGUGCUUAGAGAGUCUUGCAACCUUUAAAGCUACUUUCUCUAACCAGGUUCCUCCAGAUGUUUUUUUGACUUCAUCUGACCACUGGUCAUGCUGGCUGGCUUUGAUGGGAUCUGUGGUCCCAAACAUCUGGAGGACAACCAGACUAGGGAAGGCUGUUGUAAAUGGCAUCCUGUGCCCAUAUUUCAUUCCAAGUCCAGACUUUUAAUUAAAUUAUUGUGGGUGUUUGUGUAAUUUUACAGUAAAUCAGACUUUAAUUUGUUUUUCUCUUUUAUUUAUACAGCUACCUAGCUCAGAUGCUGAUCUUUGUUGAGAGUCGGCCUUUUGUUGUUGUUGCUAUUGAUUUUCUUUUUUAAAUGCUUCACAAUCCAAAGCAAAGUCGGAAUUGUUCGAAGGACGUCUCUUAUUUCUCUGGCUUUGUCUCUUAUUCCUCUGGAGUAGAUGUCUGAUGUUCUCUUGCAUUGCAAAUCCACAAUAAAAAUCACUUCUGUGGAAGACUUUCUGAUUAGUGUCUGAGAACCAGAAGAAUGGAAGAGGGAAAAGCUGACAUAUUCAGCCUUGCCUUCUCUUCCCUGUUUUGGUAACUUACAGUGUCGGGACUCUGCUCCUUCCUAGUUAAGACUGUUGCAGGCAGAUAAAGGGAUAAUCUCAUAAACGGGGCUUUUGUUUUUCAAAAGACCAAAGUAACUAUGUGCUUUUUUAAAGGACUAUGCAUAAAAUUAGGAUAACUGUGGGAAGCCCUAUACAUUCCAGCUAGUGUUUUGCAGUCCUCACUUGGCAUGCAAAUUGCCGAUUGUCAAACGGGCUGCCAGCUUUUUCCCUCCUAAGACUAUUUAAAUCCACUUGCAGAUGCCGCAGCAAGUAAAAAGUACUUUAAAAUAUCGGAAAAUGAGCUGUGUGUAGGCCCCACAGGGGGAGGGUAUUUUGCUUCAGGAACUGACCUUUUAUGAACUCCGAAAUAAAUGUGCCAGAGUACAUGGUUGCCACUACCCUAAACUCUGAGGGUGGGAUUCAGUGUUGUGCUGUGAUGAACUUUCCAUCUGCACAAAGCAUCACAGCUUGCCAAAUGGAAACACCACCCCUUUCCCCACCCACAUGCUCUGAUAUCAGGCUUCACCUGACACAGAAUGCCACAGAAGAGAGAAUCAGGAUGCAAGAUGGCCUUAACAGAAUGGAGAACUGGGCCAAAACUAACCACUAGCCUGAUCUAGCUGACUAUUCUUAUGUUCUUAACAUGAAGGUAAAGGUAAAGGGACCCCUGACCGUGACUGACUCUGGGGUUGCGGCGCUCAUCUUGCUUUAUUGGCCGAGGGAGCCGGCAUACAGCUUCCGGGUCAUGUGGUCAGCAUGACUAAGCUGCUUCUGGUGAACCAGAACAGUGCAUGGAAACGCUGUUUACCUUCCCGCUGGAGCAGUACCUAUUUAUCUACUUGCACUUUGAGGUGCUUUCGAACUGCUAGGUUGGCAGGAGCAGGGACCGAGCAACGGGAGCUCACCCCGUUGUGGGGAUUCAAACCGCCGACCUUCUGAUCGGCAAGUCCUAGGCUCUGUGGUUUAACCCACAGCGCCACCUGUGUCCCAUCAACGUGAAGAUAGGUGUGUCCAAAUAAACCGGAUGUCAAUGAACAACAAUUCCCCUCUUCCCUGGCUGCUGGGGGUUGUAGUUCAGCCACAUCUGGGUGGCCAAAGUUUUCCCCACGCCUAAAAUAGACAGAGCCAGCUGAGACCAUGUUGUUCUCAUAUAGAUAUUUGAUCUGUGGUUAGCUUUGCCCGUUGACAUGCUCCAGCAACUGCCUCAGAGCAGUCAAUUUUUCCGACCACCAAUCGAUGGAAUGGUGCCGGUACGCAUUUUAUGUUUUGUUGGCCUGAAAGCAAAAGAGGUGGGGGGAGGAGCGAAGGAGGAGUGAGUGGGUACUGCUUUUGAGAUGCAAUCUGUUCCCACACCAUACCCCUCAGUACCCGCAAGUACAUGGCAAGCGAAGCAGGACACUGAGGUCCAUAAAUCUGUUUUCUAAGAGUGGAAUGGUAAGCAUGACUGUGUUGGAACCAAGAUAAAUUAGGACAGAUGUACCGAAAUACUGGAUGGGCAAGGAGGAGAAGUUUGGAUUAAGAGCAAGGAUAUAUAUAUAUAGAGAGAGAGAGAGAGAGAGAGAGAGAGCUGGAUCAUGAGAUGGAAAUCUUGUUAGGAUGUUAGUUAAAAGAGAUACGGUGCCGAUGUGAAGCAUUUUUUGAGAAGAGUUGGAUGCAAAUGAUGUCUUAGCUUCCAGCUAGACUAAAUGUCUCUUGGCCUGUUUCAGGCACUGCACUAUUUCAGAGCAAGGAAUGCGGCAAAUAACUUUGGGGUACACUGUGUGUUUUGUGACGGCACAUUCAUAUGCAGCGGAGUCCAGCAAAUCAUAAACAAGGCAAUGUUCUUUGUUUAAUGUGACUGUAAAAAGAAGCCAGUGACUUGAAAAACAACAACCUAUUUUACUUUUGAAACUCAAAAGUGUUGGUUUUGCUGUAUGAAAGAGGAUGGCUUUUUUUGUUUGGAAAUUGGCCAUUGUAUCCUGGACUGUUCUGAGACUGUGAUUCCUAAGUGACCUCCAGACCAUGCAAGCCACUAGGGGUGUUUUUUGAGAGCUGUAGCAGGACAAUCAGACUGGAGUUCUGGCACCGUCCUCAAACUGGCUUCAUUCAUACAUAUACACACAGAGCAUCUUCAAGGGUAGCAAAAGCAGCAUAUAUGCAUAAAAUAACAUAUUACACAAUGGGACACGGGUGGCGCUGUGGGUUAAACCACAGAGCCUAGGACUUGCCGAUCAGAAGGUCGGCGGUUCGAAUCCCCGUGACGGGGUGAGCUCCCGUUGCUUGUUCCCUGCUCCUGUCAACCUAGCAGUUUGAAAGCAUGUCAAAGUGCAAGUAGAUAAAUAGGUACCGCUCCGGCAGGAAGGUAAACGGCGUUUCUGUGCGCUGCUCUGGUUCACCAGAAGCAGCUUAGUCAUGCUGGCCACAUGACCUGGAAGCUGUACGCCGGCUCCCUCGACCAAUAAAGCGAGAUGAGUGCCGCAACCCCAGAGUCUAUCACGACUGGACCUAAUGGUCGGGGGUCCCUUUACCUUUACCAUAUUAUACAAAGUAAAAUGGAUGUAAUACAAACUCAUUUUUUUAAAAACAAGGCAGUUUUAUAGGAGCUAUUAUCAAGCACAUGGCCAUGCAACCUGUUUGUUUGACUUUCAGCACUGAAAUGAGUAUUAGACCAUGUUUAUCUUUGUGUAGCACUGAAAUUAGUAUUAAAUACUAUUUAGCUGCAUGUAGCAUGUGUUAAUUAAUUAAUAUCAAAACACCCACAUGGGGGGGGGGAAGCUUUGUUAGCUUUUCAAGUAAAAUUUAACCCGUACAAGAAAAUGCAUAACAAGAAUGUUGCCUGUUAAUGUGCCAGUUGACAAAAAUAAGUGCUAUGUGCCAUCCUCCUGAAAAGUCAUAUAUUAAGUUAAUAACUGAUGGUAUGGAAAAGUGAGCAACCAGUUUUUAAUUUUCCAUAGAACCUUCUUAAUCACUGUAUUUCCCCCAAAAGAAUGUGUUUUAUGACCAUGACAGAAGAUGCCGGCUCUCUUUAUUAUUCUGUUGCGUGCUUGCUGCCUUGUAGCCGGAUGUUAAUUAGGAAACAAGUCAUACUUUAUUAUUAUUUCUUAAAGUUGGCAUUCCGAUAUUGGCACACCAAGCUCCAAUCCACAAGCAACUUUAUGUGCAAGAUUUUAAGGGUUAGGCAGAUUGUUUGCUAGCAAUCUGACAUUUUUAAAAUCUGUUCUGCCCUGAGACAUUGUUGGGAGAGGAGGCAUACUUCCUGUCACCUCCCCUUAUUUCUCCUCUGACCCAAAUCCUGCCUCUUGUUCUUCCACUUCUGCCAAGGACUUGGAGGAUGACCACUUCAUUCCUUGCUGGAAGAAAUGAUACUCUAGCAAGGUGGGAAGAAACCCCAUUUGAAGGCAGUUUCUCCCAGGACUUAAUGGCAACAGAUUAAGAAGUGGUGGUGCCAAAAUCUCCAGAGGGGAAGCAGCAUAAUGCAAUCAAGUGAAUUGGGCAGAAAGAGAAGUUCCCAUCUUCCUCUAGCGUAGCCUUCUCCUACCACCCAUGUGUUAAGAUGCUAUUGCCAACCCCAAUCCCUAAAAUCUUGAACAGUGAGGACUUCACUGCAUACUUGUUCUUCUCCGAUAAUGACUGGAGAGGCAUUUAGAUGCCUAGCGUGAGGGUAACAUGUAUGGUUUGUAACCUAUAAUUUCUUCAAGCCAAUCUGGUGUAGUGGUUGAGAGUGUUGGACCAGGACCCAGAUGUCCACAAUUCAAAACCCCAUGCAGCCAUGAAGCUUUACUGGGUGACCUUGGGCCAAAGGGGGUUGUGAAACUGAGUUUUUCAUGGUGCAUACAAUCCGAAAUUGGCUUUGCUCUCCUGUUGCAAGCACUAGAUUGACUAGCUCCUACAAAGUGUGAUAUAUGAAUUCUCAGCUCCUGAAAUAGUGUCCCCACUUUUCCAAGUUUAAUUAUUUAAGGCAAUUUUAACUUUACUGUACAUAUUUUUUUAUUCCACAGCUCUUUCUACACCCAGUGGCAAUAAAAUCUGCAUUUCUUUUGUGGCUGAAAAAUAGAUCCUCUUGUGGUUAAACCAGCAACCACAGGCAUUGAAAUAUUUUCACCACUUGGCGACACAUUUAUUUAUCCAUUUAACAUUGCAAGAUUUGAGGACUUUAUCAUCCAGAUGGAAGAGGUUUACGAGGCCCAAGCUCUCAGAUGCUGGAUUGGGAAAAACAAAAACCCUUUUGCAUAGAGUGGUCACUGCUGGGUUAGGAUAAACCUUUAGUCUGUCUUAAGUCAGGGUUUCGGAGUCUUUUUCAGCCUGAGGUCCGUAUUUCUUCAUGGGUAGUCUUUUGGGGGCCAUAUACCAGUGGUGGUUGGGAGCGGAUGCAAACGUAGGCAGAGAAGUGGAUGAAACCUUUGUGCAUUUCUACCACACAAAAGUUGAUAUGUGUACAGACACUUUUCUCCGCCUUCCUUCCAGGAAACCAAGAGACCUUGUUGAUGUUUAGUGGCACAUUUCCAGUAGUCAAAAACACUCAAGGAAGAUGUGCCCCGUGAAAGACAUGUGCAGCUUGGGGAGAGUCCUGAAGGCCACAUUUGGCCUCUUGAGUCUGUGGUUCCCCAUCCUAGAUCUAUGACAAUUUCAUAGUGGGCAUGCAGUCAUAUUGGAUCCAGUGUCAGGGGUCAGGGCAUGGCAUGGUUGGACAUCCACCAAGGUCCAUGACCUGGGAAGGGGCCCACCACAGAGACGCUGCCUGCUCUGCUACCCCUCAGUUUAAUUAUUGGCACCCCUUUGAUCGCUUGUGCUCCAGCCCGGAGUGGAUGAGUUGGUGAGAGGCAAUUGCAGCAAAGAGGAAGCAGCGGCUUUCUCCUUUGCAAGCAGCAAUGGCAGUAGGGAGAAGGAGGGGGACCCCCCCCAUGCCUUUAGCAUGUUACAUAACAUCACCACACCCAUGAAAAAAAUCCCCUGGCGCUUGUCAAGUGCUAGGAAGUGUUUGAAAUUUUUACAAAAUUCCUGCAUUUGUACUGAAAAUCAUGACUGAAGGAAUUAAUUACAGUAUUUGCUACGUAGCUUAACUUCCGAAGCAAGCAUUAUGAGCAGCAGAAACGACUUGCCAAAAACCAGCAGCUGAGAAUGUGACAAACACUUUAAUGAGUAUCAGGUUUGUUUUGAAACUGGCAAAAAGUUUUUUUUGUUUCAAAAAGCUUAAUGGAAAAGAAGCUAUAUCCUUAAGCACAUUCACCAGAUGGGAGAAAAGUAUAAUCUUUGUCUAUCCUUUUUAUUUCUUCUUUAGGUUGGUUUUGCACUUGGCAAUGUAGUUGGGAUGUAUCUGGCCCAGAACUAUGAUGUAAGUAUUAUUUUGCUAGUUUCCUAUUGCUGAGCUUCUAUUAACAUUGUUUAUGGGGUUGCAGUUUUGUGGUAAGGCAGUUCCAUGUUCUGGUUCAUACCAUUUUCACAUGUUCACUUAGAAAUCCACUCUGUCCUGUUUCCUUGUUAAUCUGAUAUAUUUUAAAAGUCAGUACCAGUUGUCUAUCAGCAAAUUUUGAAGUGCAGGAGCCCAUCAUGACAGACCCUAUAUUCAUACCCCUAUGGAGAGUCCAAAAACGGAGUCAGCUGCAUUGACCCUUAUCUAACACACAUAAAAAGAUAAGAAGAGCUUGCUGGAUCAGGCCAGUGAUCUAUAUAAUCUAACAUCCUGUUCUCACAGUGGCCAACCAGAUGAAGCCCACAAGCAGGACCUGAUGUAGGCGCUUCCCGCCUCACACAAUAGAUGAAGGGGGGCAUGCCCACAUCAUUUCAUUGUGCAGUAUAUUUUUCUGCCCUUUAGAGUUGGCAGCCAUUUUGUGUGAUGUAGCCUCCACAGCAGCCAUUUUGUAACAGGUGCCCAUAGCAGUUUCUCAAAAUCCCAGUGCUUCCACUGGCCCAAAAAGUUUGGCGAUAUCAUUGAAAUUCUACUCAAUAUAAUCCAGAGCAGAUUCCAACGUAUAGUUAGCGCAGUAACAACUUAAACACGUUGCAGGAUUCCCCAAAAAUAGACCAAAGGCAAUUGUAUUUCAUCCAAUAGAGCUUUACUGCUACUGAAGGCAAAUAAGCAUAAUGGUCACAAAUCCAAUACAUACAGGAUUGGCACUGUCCAUAAGAAAUCCAGUUGCAGCAGACUUAACUUAAACUUACAAUAACUUAUAAUAAGUCUAAACCUUAACACUAAGCAUACUACGUAUAGAACACCAGAACAAGAGAGAGACAGAAAGAGAGAGCCCUGUUGUAGGGUUUCAGAACCAAACAAUAAUUCUCUUCCCCCUGCCCACCUGCCAAACACCCAGCCUUUCUUACCACACAGACUGAUGAAGAUAAAUGGAAAGCUUGCUCACUGCAUUGUGGCAUUUUGGUUGGCCUACUGAUGGUAUUGCCAUGCUACAGACAAAGAAUUCUGUGAACAGUAGAAGAUUCUGAUAUCCUGUUCUGCUUUCAAAUAGGUUCCGAACAUUUCAAAGAAGAUUGAAGACAUCAAGAGAGACGUGGAAGCUAGAAAGAAGCCUCCGAACGACAAAUGAUGUUUACCUAGCCGUCUCUGUAUUAAAUGUAGAUCAUGUAGUUUUGCCACUAGGUCGCAGAUGCCAAACCUUCAUGUGGCUUUUCUGGAUUUCCUCCAGAUGUGUAGUCUUGAAAAACCAAGCUGCCCUCAGGCUGAAGUGUCACCACAUCCAAGGGACCUUCUAGCACUUUCUGGAUAUUUGACUUCUUUUUCUUUCUUUCUUUUUACCCCAUGUGUAAUAAGAAAAACCAUGCAGGGAGAGACUAAGAGAUUGGACUAUUGUUCUCAGUGUUUGUUUUCAAUAAUAUUUUCUAUUCAGUAUUAAUUUGAUUUUGAAGUAGAGUAAUGAAAUUAAUUAUUCCAGUGUGACAAUCAGUAAUGGUCUGGCUGUAGAAGUGACUCAUGAAAGAAAUUAAAAUGCGUCAGGAAUUAGCAUCCAAAGAUUUUUAAUGGUAUUUUAAAAAUUAAUUCAGUGUUUUUUUGUACAACCUAUUUGUAACAUACUAAAUCACAGAUAAAAAUCCUCCUCUCUUUCCCCCCUCUGAAGUGAGAGGCUUUUUUUAUUUUAACCUUGUUGAUUCUUAUGCUGUGUAUUUUCCAUGCAAAAGAAGUGCGAAUUAUUGAGCAAAUCAGAGAACAUUGAAAUAAGUUUCUGGUCUUGCUUUCAACCAUUUUCUUCUCUCAGGCAUUUUGCAUGGUUGCUCCUUAGAUUCAACAUUGGUUGCUUUUUUAAAAGUCUUACAACAUGCCCAAUAACAAAGUUGUUCCCUGUGAAGAGGAAUUGUCUCUCAAACUACUUUGAGAAUUGUAACUCUGUGAGGAGAAUUUGAGUCUCUUGACAACUCUGAACACCCUUAACAAAGUGCAGCUCCCAGAAUGCUUUGGGGAAGCCAUGGCUGUUUAAAGUGGCAUAACAGUGCUUUAAAUGCAUGGUGUGAAUGUGGCCUAAUUCUUGUUUUGUCCCUGGUCUGCUCUCUGCUGAGUUCCAUAAGGGAAUCUCCUCUCCUGAGAUAGGUGGCAAAUUAGCAGGUAUGAGGGGGUGAGAGCAGACUGAAGUGGGUAGAGCAGUGCCUCAUUCACCCUAAUGAACGAGUGUCCACUAUUCAGACAUUCACUUACAUGCAGUCAAUACUGUGCGAACUGGGAAUACAGGGCCAUGGGUGUUCGGCCCAUGCUUGUCCCUUCCCAAAGUUGUACAUACAAUUGGGAGGGUAUCUGCAUUAAGGUGGUCCAUGGGAUCCCUCUCUGCAGCAGUUGCCAUGGAAAACUCAUGGGCUGCAUUCCACUGGGCAGAUUUCUGAGGCAUUAGCAUGGGUACAUUGGGGGUGUGGAGCCUGAGGCUUGAGAGCUAAAUGUGGCCUCGCCUUUGUUCCCAUAUCCACUUCAUUUCUUGGCUGGAAUGUGUCCUUGAACUCUGACAAUUCCUCCCUAGAGGGAGGAUGAAGUAUGUGAGUGUGAUGACGCUGGGGGCAGAUGCUCCUUCUUCAGUGGGUGAGGUUGUGGACUCCACAUCAGAAGGGGAGCUGCACCCAGGAUCAGCCCCAGACAGGACAAACCCAUAGUGUCAUUGCUCCGUGGCCCACGGAUUUAUCGUUUCCACUCUCUGGCUCCAAAGAUCCCAUCACAGAAGCCUGAGUACAACCAGAGUCUUGCCAUCUCUGUAACCAUUGUUGAUGUUCUCAUGGACUUCUUGAAGACAUCUGGGUGGUCAUGGUGUGUGUGUGUGUGUGUGUGUGUGUGUGUGUGUGUCUGAGAAGUGUAAAUACUGAAGUAUGGUGAGCUAUUUCAACCAAUAAAAUGUGUUUACUUCACAGUGAAUGAACCGGGAGAUUAUUCCCUUGACUGGAGCUUGAGGUAUAUAUUUAUACAACCUUACAUACUGAAACCAGCAAUUCUCUUGGAUUAUGUCCAAGAGCAGACACCCCCAACCUGUGGCCCUCCAGAUGUUUUGGCCUACAACUCCCAUGAUCUCUAGCUAACAGGACCAGUGGUCAGGGAUGAUGGGAAUUGUAUUCCAAAACAUCUGGAGGGCUGAAAGAUGGGGAUGCCUGUCCUAGAGCUUCCUUUUUUUCUUUUUACUAUAUUUUGAGUCUGUGACAUACAUGUGCAUGCUGUUAUGCCGUGGUAAGAAAUCCCCUCUUCAAAUGAGAAUUUUUUGCGCUAAAAGAACUUGAAUUCCUUCACAGGCAUUUUAUCAAAGAAUGUUUUUGCUUCCUUUCCCAGAAAUGCAGAGUGUCCAUUCUGUAUACAGUACAAGGAAAAACAGAGGGGUCGCCCCGAACUCAUUUUUAAGGUUCCUGCUUAUUCAGAUCUUUUUUUUAACUUUCAGGCAAUUAACAAUUGCAAUUAACUUUCAGGCAAACAAAGCUGGUUCUAAACAAAGCCAAGAGACAUUCUGAUGUCAGUACCCAUUAAUGUGAAUUGAGUGGACUUCUUACGUCUCUUUUGAGAUCUGCAGUCCUUUGUACAUCAGCGGCGAUGGCUUUCGAAAGUCACUAAUGGGUUUCUGAAGUGCCAGAACUAUUUGGGAAGGGCACCCUGGUCUGUGGUGCUGACAUAAUUUUGAAGGUUCAAGUAGUAGCAAACACAGACCAGGAUUAGCAUAAACCUCCAUCUACUUCCAUGCCUGCAGGCAGAGAUUCUCUCAACCCUUGGUCCAUCUAGCUCAAUAUUGUCUACACUGAUUGGCAGUAGCUCUCCAGGGUUUCAGGCAAGGGGCAUUCCCAGCGCUACCUGGACAUGCCAAGAACUGAACCUGGGCUCUAUAGAGUAGGUGCUCGUAAUGUUACCAGUCGUGUUGAAGAGUGGAUCCACAUUGCUCCUCAUUGCAAGAAAACAAACAAAAUUGUAAUACCAGGGAUGUUUGUCUACUUAGAAGUCCGAAAGAGGUAUGCUUCUCUUCUAGUCUAUUGGCAAUGCCCAUUUCUAUGAAAAGGGAGGCAAUGGAGAUGUCAAAUGUCAGUGCUGAAUUUGUGGCUGAAAUCACUUAUGCAUUCAAAGCAAGAAAGGGAGCAGGCAGGGUUGAGGAGAUGUAUGUUUGUUGUUAUACUUUUAAAAAAAAAUCAGUGAAGAUAAUUAAAAAAUAAAAUAAAUGUAGGUCGAUACG
Podarcis lilfordi (Lilford's wall lizard) is the source of this 15452-nucleotide non-coding RNA. Lineage: Eukaryota; Metazoa; Chordata; Lepidosauria; Squamata; Lacertidae. The record is from the annotation of a GenBank genome assembly.